AGAGUUUGAUCCUGGCUCAGGGUUAACGCUGGCGGCGCGCAUAACACAUGCAAGUCGAGCGAGGGCUCAUUUCCCGCAAGGGAGAUGGGUUCCUAGCGGCGAACGGGUGAGUAACACGUGGGCAACCUUUCCUAUCGCGGGGGAUAACAGCGGGAAACCGCUGCUAAUACCGCAUGUCGUCAUCGGUCGCAUGGCCGGUGAAGAAAGCAGCAAUGCACGAUGGGGUGGGCCCGCGGCCUAUCAGCUAGUCGGUGGGGUAACGGCCUACCGAGGCGAUGACGGGUAGCUGGUCUGAGAGGACGACCAGCCACACGGGGACUGAGACACGGCCCCGACUCCUACGGGAGGCAGCAGUGAGGAAUCUUCCGCAAUGGGCGAAAGCCUGACGGAGCGACGCCGCGUGUGGGAUGAAGUCCUUCGGGAUGUAAACCACUGUUGGAGGGGAAGACUUCGACGGUACCCUCCGAGAAAGCCCCGGCUAACUACGUGCCAGCAGCCGCGGUAAUACGUAGGGGGCAAGCGUUAUCCAGAUUUACUGGGCGUAAAGCGCGUGUAGGCGGCUGGUUAAGUGUGACGUG
RNAcentral lists this ribosomal RNA (578 nucleotides) under uncultured bacterium. RNAcentral describes it as "bacterial SSU rRNA". It matches the Rfam family "Bacterial small subunit ribosomal RNA", at positions 8 to 596 of the family's 1533-position model. The record is from RNAcentral.